AUUGAACGCUGGCGGCAGGCUUAACACAUGCAAGUCGAGCGAGCGGCGGACGGGUGAGUAAUGUCUGGGAAACUGCCUGAUGGAGGGGGAUAACUACUGGAAACGGUAGCUACUACCGCAUACCAUCAGAUGUGCCCAGAUGGGAUUAGCUAGUAGGUGGGGUAAUGGCUCACCUAGGCGACGAUCCCUAGCUGGUCUGAGAGGAUGACCAGUGUGUCGGUAAGUGAGACACGGUCCAGACUCCUACGGUAGGCAGCGGGGGUGAAGCUUGCACAAUGGGCGCAAGCCUGAUGCCUCCAUGCCGCGUGUGUGAAGAAGGCCUUCGGGUUGUAAAGCACUUUCAGCGAGGAGGCGUUACUCGCAGAAGAAGCACCGGCUAACUCCGUGCCAGCAGCCGCGGUAAUAC
Molecule: ribosomal RNA, 406 nt
Filed under: uncultured bacterium
Lineage: Bacteria
Description: partial 16S ribosomal RNA
Rfam family: Bacterial small subunit ribosomal RNA
Source: RNAcentral